This 634-nucleotide transfer RNA is filed under the name uncultured Prochlorococcus sp. RNAcentral describes it as "partial 16S-23S ribosomal RNA intergenic spacer". The stretch from base 241 to 313 matches the Rfam family "tRNA". Lineage: Bacteria; Bacillati; Cyanobacteriota; Cyanophyceae; Synechococcales; Prochlorococcaceae. The record is from RNAcentral.
UAUGAUGUCUGAUUUAUAAAUUUAGGCCCGUAAUCCUGUCACCUUAGGUCGAUCGGUACCUCAGAUUAUUAACUUUGAAAUUGAGAAAUCACUUAUCAUUAGUCUUUUAAUUUCAGUUCCUAAACUUGUCUAGGUCACACCUAACAAACUUUCUCCUGGGCUAUUAGCUCAGGCGGUUAGAGCGCACCCCUGAUAAGGGUGAGGUCCCUGGUUCAAGUCCAGGAUGGCCCAUUCGUUGUUGGGGGUAUAGCUCAGUUGGUAGAGCGCCUGCUUUGCAAGCAGGAUGUCAGCGGUUCGAGUCCGCUUACCUCCACUGAUCAACUACCUGAUAACUCAAAUUGGAGAUUGUUAUUUGUUAAAUGUGAUUUAGAUGUUGUUCAACUGAAGGAACCUAGCUUCCUAUCAUUCCUGAAUUAAUUUUAGGCUGAUAAGACGCUGGGCUCACUGAAUCUCCUUUGGGAUAUUCAGUUUGUUUCAGCAGAACCUUGACAACUGCAUAGGAAAAUCUAGAAAAAUAAAGCAUCUCAUAGAUGCAUAGAAGUUUUUUCAUUUUUAAUGAUUAGAUUUUUAUGUUCAAUUCUUGAGUUAGAGCAAAUUUUCUAUUACUUAAAUUCGCUUAGAGAUAAGUGAUAAC